This 369-nucleotide ribosomal RNA is filed under the name uncultured bacterium. RNAcentral describes it as "bacterial SSU rRNA". It matches the Rfam family "Bacterial small subunit ribosomal RNA", at positions 141 to 507 of the family's 1533-position model. The record is from RNAcentral.
GGAUAGCCUUCCGAAAAGGGAGAUUUAAUACAAGAUGGUGUUGAAAUUCCGCAUGUUAUUUCAACUAAAGAUUUAUCGGUAACGGAUGGGGAUGCGUGACAUUAGAUAGUAGCGGGGUAACGGCCCACCAAGGCGACGAUCGUUAGGGGUUCUGAGAGGAAGGUCCCCCACACUGGAACUGAGACACGGUCCAGACUCCUACGGGAGGCAGCAGUGAGGAAUAUUGGUCAAUGGGCGGGAGCCUGAACCAGCCAAGUAGCGUGAAGGAUGACUGCCCUACGGGUUGUAAACUUCUUUUGUUUGGGAAUAAAAGACGCUACGUGUAGCGUUCUGCAUGUACCUUACGAAUAAGCAUCGGCUAAUUCCGUG